RNAcentral lists this ribosomal RNA (497 nucleotides) under uncultured bacterium. RNAcentral's name for it is "partial 16S ribosomal RNA". It matches the Rfam family "Bacterial small subunit ribosomal RNA", at positions 28 to 507 of the family's 1533-position model. The record is from RNAcentral.
GACGAACGCUGGCGGCGUGCCUAAUACAUGCAAGUAGAACGCUGAAGCGAGGAGCUUGCUCUUCUUGGAUGAGUUGCGAACGGGUGAGUAACGCGUAGGUAACCUGCCUUGUAGCGGGGGAUAACUAUUGGAAACGAUAGCUAAUACCGCAUAACAAUGGAUGACACAUGUCAUUUAUUUGAAAGGGGCAAUUGCUCCACUACAAGAUGGACCUGCGCUGUAUUAGCUAGUAGGUGAGGUAAUGGCUCACCUAGGCGACGAUACAUAGCCGACCUGAGAGGGUGAUCGGCCACACUGGGACUGAGACACGGCCCAGACUCCUACGGGAGGCAGCAGUAGGGAAUCUUCGGCAAUGGGGGCAACCCUGACCGAGCAACGCCGCGUGAGUGAAGAAGGUUUUCGGAUCGUAAAGCUCGGUUGUAAGUCAAGAACGGGUGUGAGAGUGGAAAGUUCACACUGUGACGGUAGCUUACCAGAAAGGGACGGCUAACUACGUG